UACGUAGGGUGCGAGCGUUAUCCGGAAUCAUUGGGCGUAAAGAGCUCGUAGGCGGUUCAACAAGUCGGCUGUGAAAGUCCGGGGCUCAACCCCGGAAUUGCAGUCGAUACUGUUGUGACUCGAGUCCGGUAGAGGAGAAUGGAAUUCCCGGUGUAGCGGUGGAAUGCGCAGAUAUCGGGAGGAACACCAGUAGCGAAGGCGGUUCUCUGGGCCGGCACUGACGCUGAGGAGCGAAAGCGUGGGGAGCAAACAGGAUUAGAAACCCCCGUAGUCC
RNAcentral lists this ribosomal RNA (274 nucleotides) under uncultured bacterium. RNAcentral's name for it is "partial 16S ribosomal RNA". It matches the Rfam family "Bacterial small subunit ribosomal RNA", at positions 524 to 796 of the family's 1533-position model. The record is from RNAcentral.